Molecule: ribosomal RNA, 252 nt
Filed under: uncultured bacterium
Lineage: Bacteria
Description: partial 16S ribosomal RNA
Rfam family: Bacterial small subunit ribosomal RNA
Source: RNAcentral
UACGAGGGGGGCGAGCGUUGUUCGGAAUUAUUGGGCGUAAAGGGUGCGUAGGCGGUUCCGCAAGUCCUGUGUGAAAUCUUCGGGCUCAACUCAAGUCUGCACGGGAAACUGCGGGGCUUGAGUGUGGGAGAGGUGAGUGGAAUUCCUGGUGUAGCGGUGAAAUGCGCAGAUAUCAGGAGAAACACCGGUGGCGAAGGCGGGUCUCUGGGCCGAUACUGACGCUGAGGAGCGAAAGCGUGGGGAGCGAACAGG